AUUUAAAUAAUUUAAUAAAAAUAUUGAUUUGUGGAGUCAAAAAUAUGAUUUAUAUUCAUUUUAAGUU
RNAcentral lists this transfer RNA (67 nucleotides) under Acraea epaea. RNAcentral's name for it is "tRNA-His". The record is from RNAcentral. Lineage: Eukaryota; Metazoa; Arthropoda; Insecta; Lepidoptera; Nymphalidae.